AGAGUUUGAUCCUGGCUCAGGACGAACGCUGGCGGCGUGCUUUAGGCAUGCAAGUGGAACGAGUCCGACUUGUCGGACGAGUCGCGAACGGCUGAGUAACACGUAGGAAUCUACCCCUUGGUGGAGAAUACCCACUUGAAAGAGUGGUUAAUACUGCAUAAGAUCUUCGGAUGAAAGGGCAUAACUGCUCGCCGAGGGAGGAGCCUGCGGCCUAUCAGCUUGUUGGUGGGGUAACGGCCUACCAAGGCUACGACGGGUAGGGGGCGUGAGAGCGUGAUCCCCCAGAAUGGCACUGAGACACGGGCCAUACACCUACGGGUGGCAGCAACCGGGAAUUGUGCGCAAUGGGCGAAAGCCUGACGCCGCGACGCCGCGUGAGGGAUGAAGGCCUGAGGGUCGUAAACCUCUUUUACUGAGAUCGAGAGAUCUCAGAGAAUAAGCACCCGCUAACUACGUGCCAGCAGCUGCGGUAAUACGUAGGGUGCAAGCGUUGUCCGGAUUUAUUGGGCGUAAAGGGUUUUGUAGGCGGCUUAGUAAGUUAUUUUUCAAAGACCAGGGCUCAACCUUGGAAAGGGGAAUAAUACUGCUAGGCUUGAAAGGUUUCGGGGCUACUGGAACUUAUCAUGUAAGGGUGAAAUCCGUUGAUAUG
This 649-nucleotide ribosomal RNA is filed under the name uncultured bacterium. RNAcentral's name for it is "bacterial SSU rRNA". It matches the Rfam family "Bacterial small subunit ribosomal RNA", at positions 8 to 698 of the family's 1533-position model. The record is from RNAcentral.